Varroa destructor (honeybee mite) is the source of this 663-nucleotide long non-coding RNA. RefSeq lists it as uncharacterized. The record is from RefSeq and is a predicted model, not a curated record. NCBI's taxonomy places the organism in Eukaryota, Metazoa, Arthropoda, Arachnida, Mesostigmata, Varroidae.
UUGAAAAUUAAUUGAUAUUUUAUUAUUUCCAUUCAACAAACAUCCAGCAGGCUCCUUAAAUCAUUUUUUGUUGCAAAGUGUUAGUUCAGUGAGCUUAAGUCGACCCCUCGAUCAGGUCUCAAAAUUAAAUUUGUCUACAGUUAAUAAACACCUGUUGCGUGUUUCCACCUUCAUUGAACAAUUACUGUUGUACCUUAAGAAGAGAAGCUUUAUGUUUUGUUUGGUAUAUUCCAAUCCAUGCAACCUCAAUACAGUUAAUGUCCAGGUUUCGCGAGUGCAAAAGCUACCGAAGUAGAUUAAAUGACUACUAGGUGCAGCUGACCAAUGACGCAGACAACUCCGUCAGCUACUUACCAGAACAUCGCGAGGAAAUUGCCGCCAUUCUAUAAAUGCUUUCGCUUAAAGAUUCAUCAACGAGUGAUAGGACACGCGCCCUACUAAAGGAAAAAAGAAGCCCAUUAUGCGCACAUGUGGUAAAAGUUCGACCGCAAGCUAGAUUUGAGAAAAGCUGGAAAAUUUUCUGACAAACGCGGUACAUACAUACGUACAUGGUGAUGAAUUUCAUUCCCGCUUACUGGUUGAUAUUAAGGCAAUACCAUGCUCUCUACAAAUGCCGCAGUAAAUAGAGCGCAACCGACUUCCCACAUCUAGCAAGCAAAAAGG